Molecule: ribosomal RNA, 398 nt
Filed under: uncultured bacterium
Lineage: Bacteria
Description: partial 16S ribosomal RNA
Rfam family: Bacterial small subunit ribosomal RNA
Source: RNAcentral
AUACGUAGGGGGCGAGCGUUGUCCGGAAUGAUUGGGCGUAAAGAGCUCGUAGGUGGUUUGUCGCGUCGUCUGUGAAAUUCCGGGGCUUAACUCCGGGCGUGCAGGCGAUACGGGCAUAACUUGAGUACUGUAGGGGAGACUGGAAUUCCUGGUGUAGCGGUGAAAUGCGCAGAUAUCAGGAGGAACACCGGUGGCGAAGGCGGGUCUCUGGGCAGUAACUGACGCUGAGGAGCGAAAGCAUGGGUAGCGAACAGGAUUAGAUACCCUGGUAGUCCAUGCCGUAAACGGUGGGCGCUAGGUGUAGGGGUCUUCCACGACUUCUGUGCCGUAGCUAACGCAUUAAGCGCCCCGCCUGGGGAGUACGGCCGCAAGGCUAAAACUCAAAUGAAUUGACGGGG